Pan troglodytes (chimpanzee) is the source of this 2290-nucleotide RNA transcript. It is a transcript of the gene named transmembrane protein 230, with no coding region annotated. The record is from RefSeq and is a predicted model, not a curated record. Lineage: Eukaryota; Metazoa; Chordata; Mammalia; Primates; Hominidae. The transcript is spliced from 7 exons.
GCGCCUGUUUCCGGCACGCCACUUCCGGCGCACUGAUCCCGCCUGGGGCCGGCUGAGUGGCACUUAAGCGGGCCAUGCAGUGCAACGUUGGGCGCUGCCAACCGUGGGCGAGCUCUGGGUGUGCGGGCGGCCUGGCGCGGCGCUCCGCUGUGUCAGCGUGUUAUGAUGCCGUCCCGUACCAACCUGGCUACCGGAAUCCCCAGUAGUAAAGUGAAAUAUUCAAGGCUCUCCAGCACAGACGAUGGCUACAUUGACCUUCAGUUUAAGAAAACCCCUCCUAAGAUCCCUUAUAAGGCCAUCGCACUUGCCACUGUGCUGUUUUUGAUUGGCGCCUUUCUCAUUAUUAUAGGCUCCCUCCUGCUGUCAGGCUACAUCAGCAAAGGGGAACAAAAGAAAGCUGACCACAAACAUCUACCAGCAUCCCGCGGGUACAUGAUGGGAGGCAUCAGUGGGAGGAGUCCCGAAGGAGGACUCAGCUCAAGGCUUCCAGAAGGAAGAGGAACACAGGUGUCACCACCUGACUGAGGUUCUGGCCAAUGGAACACAGGUGGAAGUUGUUGGAGAAAACGACUUAAAACGGGAACAGCUGCAAUAUCAGCUGCAAGACAUUCUUUUACCUUUCCACCUGCCUGGGACCUGGAUGUGGAACUGCAGCGUGCCUUGCAAACUUGAAGAGAACAACCUUGAUAAUGGAUGGUGAAGCAAGAAAGAGGAGCCUGAGGCUGGGCGCAGUGAUUCACACCUGUAAUCCCAACACUUUGGGAGGCUAAGGUGGGCAGAUUGCUUGAGCCCAGGAAUUUGAGACCAGCCUGGAUAACGCGUGGUGGGCAGUUCCAGGACACCUGACAUGUUCCCACUGCAGAAACCGCACGGGUUUCUCCAGCACCGCUGAAACUUGCUCAGCCCGUGUAGAGUAGCCUGGACAUACUGGGGCUUUAUUUUCCUGAGGACAACCCUCAACCAAUGAGUGCCAGGAAUCCUUUUGCCUUUUCUGGGAUGCUCCAGAACUCUAGGAGGACAAAAAAGCCCUUCAUGUCUAACAUAAGAGGAAGGCAGCAUCCUCCAAAGAAGAGUGACUCACCCUGACCAGCUGGCAGAGAAGCCCAAGGCCAGGCCCUGGGACGUGGAGAGCCAGUCCCAGCCUGGUCUGGAAGGAGGCGUGCCAGGGUGGCAAUGAUGCAUCACCCACGUGGUUUACUGGCCUUGACUAACCUGACCAUGACUUAGCAAAGCUGUGAGGUUUCCCAGUCUGGGCCAAUAUGGGUGUGCGGGUAGAAUACAGCCAGCAUGGGGAGGCGAAGGCCUGAGCAGCAUGCCAAAACCGGGAACUUGUGGCCUCCUUCCCCAUCACCGCAGCCCGUCUCCACCCUUCCUCACAUCAGCCCCUGCUUCCCCGGUCAUUCCAGGGACGGGGGUCUCCAGUGCAGCCCACUCCUCGUCAUGGUAUUACUCCAGUACAACUCCAAUCUGACCUACAGUUUUGGUGUUUGGCAUGGCAGGGGCGUGAUCCCUACUACAUACAACCAAUGAGUCACAGACUUUUGGUCCAGUCUGUGGACUGGUCACUUCCUGUCCUUCAUAUGAGCUCCCACAGAACCCGGGUCCUGCUCCAGAGCCCAGGCAUUAGACAGGCCCUGGCCUUAACCCAGUUAUCUCAGAGGCAUCCCACAUGUGUCCAGGACACCUGGGAAGCUGGUGGUAGUGAGGAGUGAAGGGCAGUAGGGGGCCUCUGCUCUGGCCCCCUGGCUUCCUGCAAGCCAGGAAAAUAGGCCCCACUCACAGCCGCUUCUCCCCUGCUGGCUAGCCUCAAAGAGAUCAUUAGAGGGACUUUGCUGCCCAUAACAACAAGGACCAUUGGUGAAAACAAGCAGCUCAGGGAAAUGGAUCAUGGAAAUCACAGAAACAGAGAUUUCUCUGUUCCCAUCCCCUAAGAUCACCAGUGCCCCUGCUCCUGACAAUUGGUCACCUCUCAGGCAACAUCUGAGCCUCUGGUGUCCCUUCCUUGUGACAGAGUUCAUGAUACUCAUGGGUUAUUUCAAUGCAUUGGGAAGUUAAUCUUUUUUUUUGAGAGAUGUUGCCUAGGCAACAUGGGGUCUUGCCAUGUUGCCUAGGCUGUUCUCAAACUCGAGCUCAGGUGAUCUUUCCCACCUCGGCCUCCCAAAGUGCUGGGAUCACAGGUGAGAGCCACCACACCUGGCUGAGGAAGUUAGUCUUUAUAAUGAGACUAAACCUGCCUUCCUAUAUUUUUCAUCUUUUCAUGUGCUUAUUGGAUAUUUGCAUUUCAUUCAUG